ACGCCGCGGAAUAUCGUAAUUUAAACACUCUGGAACUAAAUGCAUUACAGUAACCUAAUGUUGAAACAUAGGAGCCGACUACCGGAGCCGCUGAUCAUACGAUUCGGAGACCUAGUCUAAAUGAAUCAUGGAAUUGGCCAGGUGAUGGCGAGAAGUAUAAGAGUAUAGUCAAGUUUGAAGAUCCUUGGAAACCUCCACUGCUUUGGUCGGGCUGGUAGGAGGCUCCUUGGCACAGGCGCUCCUCUCUCUCUCUGCCCUUACACUCAAUUAACAUUCCACACCUACAUUACACACAUUCACCCAUUAAUACAGACUGUUCCCUAAAACUUAUUUAUUGUCAAUUUGUAUAUAUAUAUGAUCGGAACUGUACAUAUUGUAUUGUUGUAUAUGAAUGGCCAUUUGUAUUUUGUUAAAUAAUUCUGGUAAUGGUUCACAAUUAUAUGGUGUCACCAAACUUAAA
Molecule: long non-coding RNA, 460 nt
Organism: Solea senegalensis (Senegalese sole)
Lineage: Eukaryota; Metazoa; Chordata; Actinopteri; Pleuronectiformes; Soleidae
Exons: 2
Source: RefSeq, a predicted model, not a curated record